GACGAACGCUGGCGGCGUGCCUAAUACAUGCAAGUCGAGCGAACAGAUGAGAAGCUUGCUUCUCUGAUGUUAGCGGCGGACGGGUGAGUAACACGUGGGUAACCUACCUAUAAGACUGGGAUAACUCCGGGAAACCGGGGCUAAUACCGGAUAAUAUUUUGAACCGCAUGGUUCAAUAGUGAAAGACGGUUUCGGCUGUCACUUAUAGAUGGACCCGCGCCGUAUUAGCUAGUUGGUAAGGUAACGGCUUACCAAGGCGACGAUACGUAGCCGACCUGAGAGGGUGAUCGGCCACACUGGAACUGAGACACGGUCCAGACUCCUACGGGAGGCAGCAGUAGGGAAUCUUCCGCAAUGGGCGAAAGCCUGACGGAGCAACGCCGCGUGAGUGAUGAAGGUCUUCGGAUCGUAGAACUCUGUUGUUAGGGAAGAACAAAUUUGUUAGUAACUGAACAAGUCUUGACGGUACCUAACCAGAAAGCCACGGCUAACUACGUGCCAGCAGCCGCCGUAA
Molecule: ribosomal RNA, 514 nt
Filed under: uncultured bacterium
Lineage: Bacteria
Description: partial 16S ribosomal RNA
Rfam family: Bacterial small subunit ribosomal RNA
Source: RNAcentral